This 195-nucleotide unclassified non-coding RNA is filed under the name plant metagenome. Its description in RNAcentral is "partial contains small subunit ribosomal RNA, internal transcribed spacer 1, and 5.8S ribosomal RNA". The record is from RNAcentral.
UCUCCGUUGAUGAACCAGCGGAGGGAUCAUUACCGAGUUUACAACUCCCAAACCCCUGUGAACAUACCAUUUGUUGCCUCGGCGGUGCCUGCUUCGGCAGCCCGCCAGAGGACCCAAACCCUUGAUUUUAUACAGUAUCUUCUGAGUAAAUGAUUAAAUAAAUCAAAACUUUCAACAACGGAUCUCUUGGUUCUG